CUGGUUCACAUCAUAAUGGUUCUUUUGCCAACAGGAGCUGGUAAUCAGGAUGGCAGUGAGGCAGGCACUUGCUUGCAGAAGAACAGGCCUAGUUUUUUAAGAAGCCACAAAAGUGUCUUUGGAUGAUUAGGAUCUAAGGGGCCAACAGCUUUGCAAUAACAGCAUAAAUAUUGUGGGCUGGAUGGACAGGCACCAAAUGGGGACAUUCCAUCCUGCUGUGUGAUGAGAAAGCUGCCACUUUUGAGGCCUUCCAAAACAAAUCAACACUCCAUAUGCCAGAAGGAAAAGCCCAGGAAAGACCUAUUCCAACUGGAGAUGGUGAAUGUCAUUUCUUCAAGAAGCUGAGAUCCAGCUGGUACUGCCAGGUGGAGAGUGAGUUGGGUAGCUGACCUCGGGCAUGGCAGCCUUGGUUUUUGGCCACUUCAUGGGGUGACCUGUUGAGCAAACAGCAGUGGAAUUCUGCAGCUGUGGACCAAGAUGAAUACGAAGGGAGAAUGAAACAAAACUGCUCCGCUUAGGGAACUUGGAAAGGAAAUUGAAAAGGCAAGGCACAGGCUGGAAGAAAAUAUUUGAAAAAGAUUUAUGUGAACUUCUUUCUGGAUUAUACAAAAUAUUUUUAGAUAUUCUUACAACUCUAAAAUAAGAUAACUCCUUAAAAAUCUAAAUUCUACCAAAGGAGAGAUAAAGAUGACGAAUACAUUCAAAGAUGCUGAAAAUCACUUAUUUAUUAUUAGGAAGUUACAAGCUAAAGCAUAAUGAGAUACCACUACAACCUACUAAACUGACUAAAAUUAAUCAGACUAACCAGGUGUUGGCAAGAAACAGGGACACUGAGACUCUCACACUGCUGGAAGGAAUGUAAAAUGCUAAAACUUCUUUGGAAAUGAGUUCAGUAACUUUUUAAACAGUUGAAAAUAGACCUAUCAUGCAAACCAGCAAUCCCACUUCCAGGUAUUUAUACAAGGAAAAUGACAACAUAUGCCCACAUAAAGACUUGUGCACAAAUGACCGUAGCAGCUUUGUGAUAAUUGCUAAAAACUAGAAACUUGUCAAGUGUCCAACAGUUGACAUGCAGGCUGGACAUACAGUGGGCCUCGAUUGCUUAGAAGCCAAACUGAACUCACCAAGAAAAGAAGACAGGAGAAACUUCUCAAGAGGAAUAUCUCCAAAUUGCAGGAUCGAAUACCAUAAGAGGAAUUCUGGACUGAAGAGUUAUGAAGUCAUUUCAGACACUUCCAGACAAUUUGUGUUAAUUAAAUUCUCACUGGUUGAGUUCCAUUCUACACUGGAAGAGCAUUUUUCCUGGAAAGGCUCCUCAAAAUGGACACCAUCAAGAGUCACCUCCUCAGUGAAGCCUUCCAUGGUUUCAUACCACCCAUCCCUAUCGGAAUGAAUGUAUCCUUGUUCUCCGUUAUCCCAGUAUUUUGCCUGGGCUUCUGUCACACUACUUUCAAUGUCUAUACCUCAGUUAUCGAAUCGAAAAACAAGAGUCAUCAGUCUCUAAGGUCCUUGCAAGCUUCAAAACUUUAUAUUUUUGUCAAUUACAACUGAAUAAAGCUGAACAACUUAUUAUUUAUGGAUACUUGCUCAAGCACCAUAUAACUCUUUCAGAUAUUUUAAAAGAAUAUGUUUGCAAAAGACUCCAAAUCAAUGUAUUAAAUUGAAAUCCAGUAUCAAAACACCCAUUAAAGUGCUCUUUUGAAAUUGUACAUUUUAUAUCAAUAAAAUUUCAAAAUAUAAAAACC
Molecule: long non-coding RNA, 1745 nt
Filed under: Homo sapiens (human)
Lineage: Eukaryota; Metazoa; Chordata; Mammalia; Primates; Hominidae
Description: HSALNT0007374
Source: RNAcentral